UCAGCAGAUGCCUUACUGUAAAAUCUGCAUUAAAAAAAACCCAAAACCCAAACCCGACAACCAAAAAAACCAACAAACUCAUUAAAACUUAAAUAUCGGAUAAUCUCAAACCAGCUCGCUGCCUGCCUACGCACCUCGACCAGUAUUCACCCGACUGACUUGCGCUCCUGAAAUCAGUUUCAUGCUUGUUUAACUGGUCUGAUCGGAAAGUAACUGAAGAAGCCGGAAAAUGGAGAACUGAGUGUCAUGUACGUCCUCAGACCUGCAGGGAAACGGAGCCGUGGCCAAAAAGUUGGGUGUAAAUGCGACAACAAAAAUAAAUACUUUACAUCACCGCGCAGAACAUAUUUUACUAAGUCAACACUUUGUUUUUCUGCUUUUCAUUUUUUCUUCCCUCUAGGAAGAGACAAUGCUCCCUUUUUAUUAGGUAUUCCCUAAAAGAC
Long non-coding RNA from Gymnogyps californianus (California condor), 443 nucleotides. RefSeq lists it as uncharacterized. The record is from RefSeq and is a predicted model, not a curated record. The transcript is spliced from 3 exons. Lineage: Eukaryota; Metazoa; Chordata; Aves; Accipitriformes; Cathartidae.